This 469-nucleotide ribosomal RNA is filed under the name Granulicatella adiacens. RNAcentral's name for it is "bacterial SSU rRNA". It matches the Rfam family "Bacterial small subunit ribosomal RNA", at positions 28 to 478 of the family's 1533-position model. Lineage: Bacteria; Bacillati; Bacillota; Bacilli; Lactobacillales; Carnobacteriaceae. The record is from RNAcentral.
GACGAACGCUGGCGGCGUGCCUAAUACAUGCAAGUCGAACGAGAGCGACCGGUGCUUGCACUGGUCAAUCUAGUGGCGAACGGGUGAGUAACACGUGGGUAACCUGCCCAUCAGAGGGGGAUAACAUCCGGAAACGGAUGCUAAAACCGCAUAGGUCCUUUAACUGCAUGGUUGAAGGAGGAAAAGAGGCGCAAGCUUCUGCUGAUGGAUGGACCCGCGGUGCAUUAGCUAGUUGGUGAGGUAACGGCUCACCAAGGCCGUGAUGCAUAGCCGACCUGAGAGGGUGAUCGGCCACAUUGGGACUGAGACACGGCCCAAACUCCUACGGGAGGCAGCAGUAGGGAAUCUUCCGCAAUGGACGCAAGUCUGACGGAGCAACGCCGCGUGAGUGAAGAAGGUUUUCGGAUCGUAAAACUCUGUUGUUAGAGAAGAACAAGUGCUAGAGUAACUGUUAGCGCCUUGACGGUAU